UACGAAGGGGGCUAGCGUUGCUCGGAAUUACUGGGCGUAAAGCGCGUGUAGGCGGGUCUUUAAGUCAGGGGUGAAAUGCCAAGGCUCAACCUUGGAACUGCCUUUGAUACUGGAGAUCUUGAGUCCGGGAGAGGUGAGUGGAACUGCGAGUGUAGAGGUGAAAUUCGUAGAUAUUCGCAAGAACACCAGUGGCGAAGGCGGCUCACUGGCCCGGAACUGACGCUGAGACGCGAAAGCGUGGGGAGCAAACAGG
Molecule: ribosomal RNA, 253 nt
Filed under: uncultured bacterium
Lineage: Bacteria
Description: partial 16S ribosomal RNA
Rfam family: Bacterial small subunit ribosomal RNA
Source: RNAcentral